GCUAAACGCGAAGAACCUUACCAAGGCUUGACAUAUACGGUCUAUCCCUAGAGAUAGGGAGUGCUUCGGCGCCGUAUACAGGUGGUGCAUGGUUGUCGUCAGCUCGUGUCGUGAGAUGUUGGGUUAAGUCCCGCAACGAGCGCAACCCUCGUCCUAUGUUGCCAGCGGGUAAUGCCGGGGACUCAUAGGAGACUGCCGGGGUCAACUCGGAGGAAGGUGGGGAUGACGUCAAAUCAUCAUGCCCCUUAUGUCUUGGGCUUCACGCAUGCUACAAUGGCCGGUACAGAGGGCUGCGAUACCGUAAGGUGGAGCGAAUCCCAAAAAGCCGGUCUCAGUUCGGAUUGAGGUCUGCAACUCGACCUCAUGAAGUCGGAGUCGCUAGUAAUCGCAGAUCAGCAACGCUGCGGUGAAUACGUUCCCGGGUCUUGUACACACCG
Molecule: ribosomal RNA, 437 nt
Filed under: uncultured bacterium
Lineage: Bacteria
Description: bacterial SSU rRNA
Rfam family: Bacterial small subunit ribosomal RNA
Source: RNAcentral